Molecule: non-coding RNA, 73 nt
Organism: Stegodyphus mimosarum
Lineage: Eukaryota; Metazoa; Arthropoda; Arachnida; Araneae; Eresidae
Source: Rfam
GCCUUCGUGGUGUAGUGGUCCGCACGCUCGGCGCGUAUUCGAGAAGUCCGUGGUUCGAGUCCCGGCGAGGGCA